This 74-nucleotide transfer RNA is filed under the name Heterocephalus glaber (naked mole-rat). It matches the Rfam family "tRNA". Rfam says of the family: Transfer RNA (tRNA) molecules are approximately 80 nucleotides in length. Their secondary structure includes four short double-helical elements and three loops (D, anti-codon, and T loops). The record is from Rfam by way of RNAcentral. Lineage: Eukaryota; Metazoa; Chordata; Mammalia; Rodentia; Bathyergidae.
GGCCGGUUAGUUCAGUGGGUUAGAGCGUGGUACUAAUAACGCCAGGAUUGAGGGUUCGAUCCCCGUACGGACUA